AAGCUUUCAUGUACACGCACACUUCUUCAAAUACUGAAUAUCUGAGUAUCUGAAGAAGUGUGCAUGCACAUGAAAGCUU
Podarcis lilfordi (Lilford's wall lizard) is the source of this 79-nucleotide non-coding RNA. The record is from the annotation of a GenBank genome assembly. Lineage: Eukaryota; Metazoa; Chordata; Lepidosauria; Squamata; Lacertidae.